GUCGAACGGUAACAGGAAGAAGCUUGCUUCUUUGCUGACGAGUGGCGGACGGGUGAGUAAUGUCUGGGAAACUGCCUGAUGGAGGGGGAUAACUACUGGAAACGGUAGCUAAUACCGCAUAACGUCGCAAGACCAAAGAGGGGGACCUUCGGGCCUCUUGCCAUCGGAUGUGCCCAGAUGGGAUUAGCUAGUAGGUGGGGUAACGGCUCACCUAGGCGACGAUCCCUAGCUG
RNAcentral lists this ribosomal RNA (232 nucleotides) under Escherichia coli. Its description in RNAcentral is "partial 16S ribosomal RNA". It matches the Rfam family "Bacterial small subunit ribosomal RNA", at positions 61 to 289 of the family's 1533-position model. The record is from RNAcentral. Lineage: Bacteria; Pseudomonadati; Pseudomonadota; Gammaproteobacteria; Enterobacterales; Enterobacteriaceae.